Molecule: ribosomal RNA, 1036 nt
Filed under: Zhihengliuella halotolerans
Lineage: Bacteria; Bacillati; Actinomycetota; Actinomycetes; Micrococcales; Micrococcaceae
Description: bacterial SSU rRNA
Rfam family: Bacterial small subunit ribosomal RNA
Source: RNAcentral
UGCUUACACAUGCAGUCGUACGAUGGAUAAGCCCAGCUUGCUGGGUGGAUUAGUGGCGAACGGGUGAGUAACACGUGAGUAACCUGCCCUCGACUCCAGGAUAAGCCCGGGAAACUGGGUCUAAUACUGGAUAUUCAAUUUCUGCCGCAUGGUGGUUUUUGGAAAGGAUUCUGGUCGAGGAGGGACUCGCGGCCUAUCAGCUUGUUGGUGAGGUAAUGGCUCACCAAGGCGACGACGGGUAGCCGGCCUGAGAGGGUGACCGGCCACACUGGGACUGAGACACGGCCCAGACUCCUACGGGAGGCAGCAGUGGGGAAUAUUGCACAAUGGGCGAAAGCCUGAUGCAGCGACGCCGCGUGAGGGAUGACGGCCUUCGGGUUGUAAACCUCUUUCAGUAGGGAAGAAGCGAAAGUGACGGUACCUGCAGAAGAAGCGCCGGCUAACUACGUGCCAGCAGCCGCGGUAAUACGUAGGGCGCAAGCGUUAUCCGGAAUUAUUGGGCGUAAAGAGCUCGUAGGCGGUUUGUCGCGUCUGCCGUGAAAGUCCGGGGCUUAACUCCGGAUCUGCGGUGGGUACGGGCAGACUAGAGUGCUGUAGGGGAGACUGGAAUUCCUGGUGUAGCGGUGAAAUGCGCAGAUAUCAGGAGGAACACCGAUGGCGAAGGCAGGUCUCUGGGCAGUAACUGACGCUGAGGAGCGAAAGCAUGGGGAGCGAACAGGAUUAGAUACCCUGGUAGUCCAUGCCGUAAACGUUGGGCACUAGAUGUGGGGGACAUUCCACGUUUUCCGCGUCGUAGCUAACGCAUUAAGUGCCCCGCCUGGGGAGUACGGCCGCAAGGCUAAAACUCAAAGGAAUUGACGGGGGCCCGCACAAGCGGCGGAGCAUGCGGAUUAAUUCGAUGCAACGCGAAGAACCUUACCAAGGCUUGACAUGGACCGGAUCGGGCUAGAAAUAGUCUUUCCCUUCGGGGCUGGUUCACAGGGGGUGCAUGGUUGUCGUCAGCUCGUGUCGUGAGAUGUUGGGUUAAGUCCCGCAA